CCCGGCCUUUGCACUGGCCCAAAGAGACAUGAGGGAGCCCAGGACUUAGACUCAGAUGAUCUUGUCCGAAUCUGGCACUGCCAGGAGAGGCAGAGAGAGGAUCAUGACGGAGCGGUUAAUGGCAUAUGGUCGGUGGACCCAGGCUGUCUGGAUGUGAAUCCUGAAGCUGCCUCCUACCAGGUCUGUGACCUUGAACAAGCUACUUAAUACCACUAUGCCUCAGUCUCCUCUUGUGUAAAAUGGGGAUGAUAAGACUAGCACCCCGCUCAUGGGGUUUUUGUGAGGGCUGAGUUAACUCAACAUAAGUCUCCUUCACAGUAAGCUCUAGAUAAGCACACUAUUUGUUAUUCAUAGAAGCAAUGGGAAUAAUCCUGUGCUGUUGCACAAAGCAAAGGCCCUGCUGUUAUUACUAGUUGUGUGAGUUUGGGGUGAAUUAACCUCUCUGAAUCUCAUUUUCCCCAUCUGUAAAAUGGGGAUGAAAUCAGAACCCCCUCCCCCCCACCCUGCCCCAACAAGACUGUGCCUUAUUGUUAAGCACAAGUUUGUUUGUUGGAAAUGGAAAUCUGUAGUCGAUCAUGUCUUUGCUGCUGAAGAUUGUGCCAGGCUCCACAUGCCCUGCUCUAGGAAGUUUGAAGUUGUGGACCAAAACAUCUCAAAUAUUUAAAAUCCAAGAAGGACCAAAAAAAUAAAGGCAAGUCAUGACUCAUUCUUUGGGGUCACAUGUCUCAUAUCCCAAAGGGUUUAGGAGGAACUUGCUUUUCCUGAAUCCACAUGUGAUUGCUCCAGAGGGACCUCCUUUGACUACACCAGGAGAGCUAAAGGGCUGAUGGGUUCUGAAGAGCGGAGGAAUGCUGUACAGAUCUGGGAUGUGUGAUGGAGCAGAGCUACUGAUUCUAUUAUUCCCGAUUCUGCCACUUCUUUGCUGUGUAACCUUUGGCAUGUUAGUUAACCUCUCUGAAUCUGAGCUUUCUUCUCAAAAGGAAGAUUAAUAAGGUAUCAUAAAAGAAUCUGCAAAUGUUUGUUCCUUUCUCUUGGAAAAAACUUAGCAUCUGGGUUUAUCAGGCCAACCUUUGGAUCUGGGUUGAUGCAUGGAACAUGGUUUAUGAGCUAUAAGAAGUGAAAAUGCAGUGUGAUUUUAAAGUUCCGAAGGUACUUAUUAUAAAACAAUAGGUGUUUUUUUUGUUUUGUUUUGUUUUUUUGCAGUACGUGGGCCUCUCACUGUUGUGGCCUCUCCCAUUGCGGAGCACAGGCUCCGGACGCGCAGGCUCAGCGGCCAUGGCUCACGGGCCCAGCCGCUCCGCGGCAUGUGGGAUCUUCCCGGACCAGGGCAUGAACCCGUGUCCCCUGCAUCGGCAGGUGGACUCUCAACAACUGCACCACCAAGGAAGCCCCAAGUUGACUGCAGAGCUGUCGGGCUGACAGAACUUGCCCACCAGCUGGGCGAUGAGCCCCGUCCUUGGCUGUGAACAGGGACGCCGAGGUGGAACGUGUGCAGCCGAGCGGGGGAGACAUCUCAACGUGUCACUUCCCUUCGGAGGGAAAACAAGGCUUCCAGAGAGUCUGAGAGUCCACAAGUUUUAAGAAAACCAGCUCAUGUCUGAAAUGGGAAGAAAAGCUAAUUAUAUGCUCUGGAGCGAUGAGUCCCCAAUGUGACUACAUAGCAGAAUUGCCAGGAACACUUGGAGAAAGAUAAAUUCCUAAGCACCUGCCUGGACUUAUUGAAUCAGAGUCACCCUCCUUCCCCUACUCCCCCAUGAGGGAAUGGGGGAGCAGGAAUCUGAAUACGUUCACACCCCAAACCAUUUGGACGAGAUGACUGACGAAACUCCACUCUGAGAGCAUUCAUCCACAGGGCAACCUUGAAUCACUGCUCUCGCCACAGUCAGAGGAGGGCCAUAGCCAGCACUUUGCUGUCUGUGAGGCGAAUAUGUUAACAGGACAAUAAAGGUCACAAUUUCAGAGGAAUUGAGAGGACAAUCUGAAUGAGAGAGGAUUUUGAAAAAUAAAAUGAGUAGAAGUACA
Molecule: long non-coding RNA, 2022 nt
Organism: Orcinus orca (killer whale)
Lineage: Eukaryota; Metazoa; Chordata; Mammalia; Artiodactyla; Delphinidae
Exons: 2
Source: RefSeq, a predicted model, not a curated record